GAUGAACGCUGGCGGCGUGCCUAAUACAUGCAAGUCGAGCGAACAGACGAGGAGCUUGCUCCUCUGACGUUAGCGGCGGACGGGUGAGUAACACGUGGAUAACCUACCUAUAAGACUGGGAUAACUUCGGGAAACCGGAGCUAAUACCGGAUAAUAUAUUGAACCGCAUGGUUCAAUAGUGAAAGACGGUUUUGCUGUCACUUAUAGAUGGAUCCGCGCCGCAUUAGCUAGUUGGUAAGGUAACGGCUUACCAAGGCAACGAUGCGUAGCCGACCUGAGAGGGUGAAAGGCCACACUGGAACUGAGACACGGUCCAGACUCCUGCGCAAGGCGUCCGUAGGGAAUCUUCCGCAAUGUGCGAUAGCCUGACGGAGCAACGUGGCGUGAGUGAUGAAGGUCUUCGGAUCGUAGAACUUUGUUCUUGGGGAAGAACAAAUGUGUAAGUAGCUAUGCACGUCUUGACGGUACCUGAUCAGAAAGCCACGGCUAACUACGUG
Molecule: ribosomal RNA, 497 nt
Filed under: uncultured bacterium
Lineage: Bacteria
Description: partial 16S ribosomal RNA
Rfam family: Bacterial small subunit ribosomal RNA
Source: RNAcentral